GAGAAUAUAUACCCAUCCUCACAGCAAAUAUGAGGAAUCUCCUGAUGUGAGCUGUGUUGAGAGGUUGUCUCUGUCUCAAUAAAAGUUCACUGAUUCCCCCAUCUGCUGCAGGUGUCCGGUUGUCUUCAUUCUCCGCCAGCCUGGUUAAGUCAAUUCCUCCUUAACAUCUAAAAGAACCUAUUUAAUGAAGGAAGACGGGUUCACUUUGUGUUUAAUAUUAUUCUAUUGCUGUUGUUUUUUUUAUAUCCUUCAAUUGGCGUCACGAACAGGAUCCGCUCCAGGUCAACUGGAACGGAUGGGAGGACAUCGGCCGUGGUCUGAGUGAACGGAGUUUGGACAAAAGCUGUGUGCACACAAAAACAAGGUUGUUGCUCUUUAACUCCUAGAACACGCCCUUGGCGAGGUGGGGGGAACUGGACCACCUUUCUGUGCCCCAUCAUCCUCUAUUAGACGACAUCCAAGCUAAGUAAACAUGUCUUGGCCCUUUCCCCCUGAAAUGACAGGCAGGCAAAGAUGUUGCGUCUUUGUUUGCUUCCUGGCCCUGGGUCUCAUUCCCAUUGGCAUAAUCCUGAUCUGUGAAGGGCCCCCGACACUUCUGACACCUUCAAGUUCAAAAGCUUCGCCCCCUUCUGACAGUCCCAAUCUGACAAAUGUAGCCCCUAGGGUCUUGCCCACCACUUCCUCUCCAGUUUUGCCCACGCCCGAUCCAUUUAGAAAGAAACGAGACACGGUUACCUCCUCGCCAACGGAUGAUGAAAACUCUGAUCGUGAGGGUGACGAACAUUAUCGUCUUUCUCUUGUUUAAAUGCUUCUAGAAUGGUUGUUUCUCUGUGGUGUUUUGUAUUAGGCUUGUUAUUAAUUGUUUCCCUCACCCACUUCCUCUUGAAGGAUAUAUCUGGUUGAACUGUGUCUGGUCGGGUUGUGAGGGUUAAGCGAUGUUCUCAGGGUCUCCGGACUUAAGCCUGAGCGAAUGUGUACUCCCACCACUGGAUAUAAAUUGUUUUUUUCCACACCCCUUCCUCACGUUUUACCAUAUUCACUUUUGAAUGUCCUUAGCAGUUACCGUUCUGUGUUUAUUUUACGAUUGAUUUAUUCUUUCACAUUUUCACGUUUAUAUCUCUCAUUAUUAUAGUAUACUCUGUACUCUCCACAUUUUUAUCAUUACUUAUGCUUUUUGGUUGCUGAGUUACAGGGACUGUUAAUUUUGUGUCACUACCCUGGUUGCACUAACUCGUUGUAUCCGUGUGUGCAGGACAGCUGUUACUGCUUUCAUCGGGAACCGAGACUGCUUGCAGCCGACCCCUGGGCAGGGUGGUGCCUGGACUCUUUUCUCCUCAUCUGCAAUGACAGAUAAAGACAAAUGAUAAGACCCGAGGAGUUUUUCGAGCCAGGCUUCGACACGUCUCUGUGUUCCUUUGAAUGUUACUUAUUUUUGUGUGUUGACCCAUUUAAGAUGGGUCAAAAGGGGGAUUUGAAGAAAAUAUAAUCUGAUCAAACAUUAUUCAGCUUUAAAUAUUGUUCAGCUUUAAAGUUACUGUGCAACUGUGUAAUAAAAAUAUGCGCUCACGACUUUGGCCUUGAGAGCGAUAAGAAGCGAUCGCCUCAUUCUGCAGGUGCAAGAUAUCUGCAAGCGAAGAGACUAGAACACCCAAGGCCGCUUUCCUUUUAUGGAGUUGUUUUUCUGCUAAUGCAGCACUGUCCUCACAACCCCCUCCUGUAAGUUUUAGAGAAUAUAUACCCAUCCUCACAGCAAAUAUGAGGAAUCUCCUGAUGUGAGCUGUGUUGAGAGGUUGUCUCUGUCUCAAUAAAAGUUCACUGAUUCCCCCAUCUGCUGCAGGUGUCCGGUUGUCUUCAUUCUCCGCCAGCCUGGUUAAGUCAAUUCCUCCUUAACAUCUAAAAGAACCUAUUUAAUGAAGGAAGACGGGUUCACUUUGUGUUUAAUAUUAUUCUAUUGCUGUUGUUUUUUUUAUAUCCUUCAAUACGUACGAUGGUCUUUCGU
This is a long non-coding RNA of Astatotilapia calliptera (eastern happy), 1999 nucleotides long. The record is from Ensembl. Lineage: Eukaryota; Metazoa; Chordata; Actinopteri; Cichliformes; Cichlidae.